AAUUUAGAUGGGAAUUCAAUUAAAGUAUGCAUAAAAUUUUUCUGUAUGUGUUCAGUACUAGCUGCUGUUUGCACAAAUUGUUUCGAAUAUCAAUAUCAAAUCAAUUUCCGAAUAUAUCAUAAAUGAAAGGAUAAAAAGUGGAUGUUUUUCAUAUGAAAGUGUAUGUAACAUAUCAAUAUGAGUUGCUUCCCUUAGCCACAGAGAAAUGUUAUUUUGAUACAUGUAUAUUGUCUUUUUUUUUUAUUGUUAUGUUGCAUUUUUCUGUCAUCAUCUGUGUAUAAUGUUUAAAAUCAAAUUAGUGAUAUAGAAAAUAGCCCAGGAA
Molecule: long non-coding RNA, 322 nt
Filed under: Mytilus galloprovincialis (Mediterranean mussel)
Lineage: Eukaryota; Metazoa; Mollusca; Bivalvia; Mytilida; Mytilidae
Source: RNAcentral